RNAcentral lists this long non-coding RNA (561 nucleotides) under Lactuca sativa (garden lettuce). RNAcentral describes it as "long non-coding RNA (LSAT_LNC006792)". Lineage: Eukaryota; Viridiplantae; Streptophyta; Magnoliopsida; Asterales; Asteraceae. The record is from RNAcentral.
UCUGAUUUACAUCUUAAAUAAUGUUAUAGAAUAAUAAUAUGUUCGUUGCUAGAAGAAUAACUUUUUGCAGAUUGGUUAAAUUUAUUUCUAGGUUUUGUUGUUUAACCUAGGAUGGGUCAAAUGGUUCAUCGGGUCGAACCCAUUUAUAAGGACUACUGAAUCUACCGGGCAAAACCAUACCAUUUGUAAGAAUCACAUGUUAUUUGAGACACUUAAUGUUGAUGGAUUAUUUGUAAGAAUCACAUGUUAUUUGAGACACUUAAUGUUGAUGGAUUAUUUGUAAGAAUCACAUGUUAUUUGAGACACUUAAUGUUGAUGGAUUAUUUGUAAGAAUCACAUGUUAUUUGAGACACUUAAUGUUGAUGGAUUGUGCAUGAAAGCAGGAAGUACAACCAUUUAAUAUAUAAGAGAGAAAAAUCAAAUCUUGAUUUGGUGGCAUAGUUUUUAGAUGUAGAGAUGUACUGGUUAGGCAUGAAAUGGGUAACAUGAAAAUUUAUGUGGAUGUGGAGUCAUUGGCUGUGGUAGUUCUACUUAAAUACUUCAUUGAAUAUCCAUCAACAU